This 388-nucleotide long non-coding RNA is filed under the name Triticum aestivum (bread wheat). Its description in RNAcentral is "long non-coding RNA (TAES_LNC010650)". Lineage: Eukaryota; Viridiplantae; Streptophyta; Magnoliopsida; Poales; Poaceae. The record is from RNAcentral.
GCAAGUAUCCCUGAAGGGGAGGGGGACCAGAGCCAGGCACCUGAAAGACCAGCAAAGCACCCCAAGAGCAACAAAGGAGUGAAGAAAAGUAGUGGCCCUAAAAGUGCUGAAAUGAACGGAGAUAAGAAAGGAACACGCGAUGAACAAACAGAGCAUGUCAAGAGUCAGAAGGGUUCCAAGAAAAGUAAAGGCCCUAAAAAUGCUGGAAUGGAUGUAGAUGAGAAAGAAACACCCAGUGAGCAAACAGAGGAGGUCAAGAGCCACAAGGGUGCGAAGAGAAGUAGUGGACCUAAAAGUGCUGGAAUAAAUGGAGAGAAGAAAGAUGUGCCCGAGGAACAAACAGAGCAGACCAGCCACAAAAAGAAGCAUGUGUCUGAUAAAAUUAAGA